AUGGAAUGGGAGGAUCUGUUGUGCUGUGGUUUCCAUGGGAGCAGGGUGCCCUACAGCCCAAGGCUGGGGCCCUGCAGCUGCCCAGCCCACCACAGAGCUUCUCAUCCCCCUUUGUUUCAGCACCCUCAUCUACCUGAGCUCGCUGGUCUCCUUCCUUUCUACCAGCGUUGCCUACGGCUGAAGGAACACAUCGGCUCCCACGGCGUCUGGUGCCUCUGCCUCUUCAUGAUGGUCACCAUGAGCUGUGCCAUGGCAGUCCCGCUGUUCUUCUUAAUCUACCUGGUGAUCAUCCCCAUGUGGACCGUCAUCAUGGUGCUGAUGUUCUUCAUCAUGAUGACCUUCCUCGCCAGUGUCUGCCUGAGCCUGAUUCAGCCCUGGAUCCCCUCCAUCUCCCAAGCACUGCAUACUUCGUGGUUGCAGGUAUGGCUGCAGGGCACGGAGCAUCUCGCCAGCCCGGCAGGAGGAUGUAGGAUGUGGCUGGACCCCAAGCCCAGAUCGGGGAGGCAGCCCCACGCAUCGAUGCUCUGCAUGACUUGGUCCCACCACACAUGCACGGGGAUCUCCAUCGCUGCACACACUCCCCUCUCGGUGCCGGAUGCACGGGUGACACCCAGCACCACUGACCCACCUCCACCUGCACCGAGCCCCCAGCCCCAUCACCAUGCCCAGGCCCACAUGGGGCCAGGACAAGUCCAUCGCCCCAUCCUGCUGUGGGUGGCAUGCAAUGGGGCUAGGAGUCACCACCCCAGAGCUGCCCCGCGGUGACACACAAGGAUCUGGUCCCUGCAGCCCAUGGCCCUAAGCCCUCCCUGCGCUGGCAGGACAGGACAUGCCUGCGACUUGCUUGCCCUGACCUGCCCUGGAAGCUGGUGGACAUGGGUGUGGAGAAGGAAAAUGCAGUGGGAUGGGGAAGCCCAGGGUACCCCCAACUUCUCCUGUUAUUCCAGACCCUAUACCCACUUGGGGUGGGCAUGGACCACACCAGGGUCCGUGGCCACUCUUCUCCCCUGUCACCCUUCUCCACACAGGUUGCUACCAUGGCCAAAAUCUGGCACAACAAGCAGGAGUCGAUGGCAGGUGAGCAUUCCCUGGCAUGGGCAAGACACUGCAGGGUGGGGACAAGGCACUGGGCAAGCCUCACCAGCUCAAACUUAGCUCCAGACCCCUGGGAUACUCCAGGGCAGAGCAGCACCAGGCACGGGGAGCCCCUUUCCUGCCCCAAACCCCUUCAGCAGAGAAGGAAAGUGGAGCACUGAGACAGGAGCUGUGGCACCUGGGGCAUGGGGGUGGUUUGAAGGCUCACAGCCCCCUUGGCAUUUGGGGGAGAGGUAGCUGUUUUGCCCCAAGGAGCUGGUGAAGGGGGCAGCGGCAGCACUGGCAAAUCUCCCCAUUUGCUUGGUCAGCUUUUUUAUUUAAAAAAAAAAACCACAACUGUUUGACCAUUGAAAUCCUGCCCAAAAAAAAAAAGCCAAGCGGACCCUCUCAGCGUGCCUGUGUUGCCCACGCUGCUGCUUUGUCAGCGUUCCCCAAUACUUGGAAAAGUAUUUGCUCAAAAUGCAAAUAUUUGCACAGGUUUUUGGGCAGUUUUCCACCCGUCUCUAAUUCCCCGCGGUUAUGGCUGGAGGGGCUGACCCUGGUGAGCAUGGUGGGCUCCCAGACAAACAUCCCUGGCUUCACCAUGGCCAGGACAUGGCAGGGAAGGAAAAUCCUCCUUCAAAGCCGUGGUAGGAGCUGGUAGAAGGCCAAAACGUGUUCCUCCUCAUGCUCUCCUCUCCCACCCAGGGCCUGGGGCCAUGGUCGACAGCGAAGACUCUGAAUGAGACUCUCACACCCAGCUCAGGUUGUGAUCCAGCCAGAGAAGCGGACAAUAAAGACCUUCACUCCAAGCUUCUGGUAACUGAU
This 1902-nucleotide long non-coding RNA is filed under the name Calidris pugnax (ruff). Its description in RNAcentral is "lncRNA (ENSCPUG00000017113.1)". The record is from RNAcentral. Lineage: Eukaryota; Metazoa; Chordata; Aves; Charadriiformes; Scolopacidae.